UUGAAGAGUUUGAUCAUGGCUCAGAUUGAACGCUGGCGGCAGGCCUAACACAUGCAAGUCGAACGGUAGCACAGAGAGCUUGCUCUCGGGUGACGAGUGGCGGACGGGUGAGUAAUGUCUGGGAAACUGCCUGAUGGAGGGGGAUAACUACUGGAAACGGUGGCUAAUACCGCAUAACGUCGCAAGACCAAAGAGGGGGACCUUCGGGCCUCUUGCCAUCAGAUGUGCCCAGAUGGGAUUAGCUAGUUGGUGAGGUAACGGCUCACCAAGGCGACGAUCCCUAGCUGGUCUGAGAGGAUGACCAGCCACACUGGAACUGAGACACGGUCCAGACUCCUACGGGAGGCAGCAGUGGGGAAUAUUGCACAAUGGGCGCAAGCCUGAUGCAGCCAUGCCGCGUGUAUGAAGAAGGCCUUCGGGUUGUAAAGUACUUUCAGCGGGGAGG
Molecule: ribosomal RNA, 445 nt
Filed under: Salmonella enterica subsp. enterica serovar Virchow
Lineage: Bacteria; Pseudomonadati; Pseudomonadota; Gammaproteobacteria; Enterobacterales; Enterobacteriaceae
Description: bacterial SSU rRNA
Rfam family: Bacterial small subunit ribosomal RNA
Source: RNAcentral